RNAcentral lists this ribosomal RNA (492 nucleotides) under uncultured bacterium. RNAcentral's name for it is "partial 16S ribosomal RNA". It matches the Rfam family "Bacterial small subunit ribosomal RNA", at positions 29 to 507 of the family's 1533-position model. The record is from RNAcentral.
AGUGAACGCUGGCGGCAGGCCUAACACAUGCAAGUCGAACGGCAGCACAGUAAGAGCUUGCUCUUACGGGUGGCGAGUGGCGGACGGGUGAGGAAUACAUCGGAAUCUACUUUUUCGUGGGGGAUAACGUAGGGAAACUUACGCUAAUACCGCAUACGACCUACGGGUGAAAGCAGGGGAUCUUCGGACCUUGCGUGAUUGAAUGAGCCGAUGUCGGAUUAGCUAGUUGGCGGGGUAAAGGCCCACCAAGGCGACGAUCCGUAGCUGGUCUGAGAGGAUGAUCAGCCACACUGGAACUGAGACACGGUCCAGACUCCUACGGGAGGCAGCAGUGGGGAAUAUUGGACAAUGGGCGCAAGCCUGAUCCAGCCAUACCGCGUGGGUGAAGAAGGCCUUCGGGUUGUAAAGCCCUUUUGUUGGGAAAGAAAAGCAGCAGGUUAAUACCCCGCUGUUCUGACGGUACCCAAAGAAUAAGCACCGGCUAACUUCGUG